Long non-coding RNA from Helianthus annuus (common sunflower), 162 nucleotides. RefSeq lists it as uncharacterized. The transcript has 3 exons. The record is from RefSeq and is a predicted model, not a curated record. Lineage: Eukaryota; Viridiplantae; Streptophyta; Magnoliopsida; Asterales; Asteraceae.
AAACAAUAUCAAAUUCAUGAAAAUCAUCAAAUUGAUAUGACAAUGGUCGAAAAUGUUAGCGAUGAGUUUCUAUUUGGCCCGCAUGAUGUUUCAACUGAACAUGACGUUGACGGAUCAGAAGAACUGGAUAUGAUGUUUUCGGAACCUGUUAAACAAACUCAA